This 28-nucleotide non-coding RNA is filed under the name Rattus norvegicus (Norway rat). Lineage: Eukaryota; Metazoa; Chordata; Mammalia; Rodentia; Muridae. The record is from RNAcentral.
UCCUCUCAGGAGGAUACGAUUCUCAGGA